Molecule: ribosomal RNA, 254 nt
Filed under: uncultured bacterium
Lineage: Bacteria
Description: partial 16S ribosomal RNA
Rfam family: Bacterial small subunit ribosomal RNA
Source: RNAcentral
UACGGGGGGGGCAAGCGUUGUUCGGAAUUACUGGGCGUAAAGGGCUCGUAGGUGGCCAACUAAGUCAGACGUGAAAUCCCCAGGCUCAACUUGGGAACUGCGUCCGAUACUGGAUGGCUCGAGUUUGGGAGAGGGAUGCGGAAUUCCAGGUGUAGCGGUGAAAUGCGCAGAUAUCAGGAGGAACACCGGUGGCGAAGGCGGGUCUCUGGGCCGAUACUGACGCUGGAGGAGCGAAAGCGUGGGGAGCGAACAGG